CUUCUGUGAUUAUGUAAUGAUAAUAUUACAUAUUGCUAGCCACUGUUCUAGGGAUUCUCCUUGCUGCUUGAUGAAAUAAGUGGUCAAGUUUGAGAAGCCCAUGUAGCAAGGAAUGACAAGGAACUGUGGGAAACGUCUAGAAGCUGAGGGUGGCCUCAGACCAUCAGCCAGUGAGAAACAGAAGUUCUCAGUCCACCAACCACAAGGAACUUAAUACUGCAGCAGCCACACAAGUGGGGAGGUGAAUCCUUCCCCAGUCAAGCCACCAGAUGAGAACUUGGCCUUGGCUGACCAAGGUCUCAAGCAAUGCACCCAGCUAAGCUGUUACUGAACUCCUGACCCCACAGAAACUGUACAAAUGGCAAGAAGGAGCCAUACAAGCCAAGGUGUGCGAGAAGAGUCCUCCAAGCAACAGGGAAGCAAGUGCAAAGGUCCUUGCAGAAGGGAGCUUGCCAUAUUAGAGGGACAGACGGAGGCCAGAGCGACUGGAGGUGUGAACAAAUGGGCGAGACAUGGUUGGAAGGGUGAAGGCCUUGGCAAGGGGUUUUUGUGGAAAUCUAAGUGUAACUGAGAGCCACAGAGAGAUUUCAGUAGUGGAGAGCCACAUGCUUCCAUCUUUGACUUUGUGUUGUUGAUCAUUCUAGAGUCUUCAGAGACUACCAAGUGCCAACAAAGGGAUUAACCCCUUGCCCCUCUAAAGGACUGCAAGAAAGAAGACACUAAAUCCAUGGCAUUUUUUUCCUUAGGAAAGAAGGGAGAUAACGAGAAGCCUCCACUUGGUAUUCCUUGGAGCAGCUGGAAGCUAAAAACCAAACGUGGGAACUGUGAAUCCUCUCUCUGGGAUAUGUUUUCUUAGGAAGUGGAGGAAAUGGGUGGGCAUGAGUGGCAAAAUAUUCCAGGGUAAUACUUCUUCCUGGGCCUUGUGGGGAACAAUUCCCAACAGGCCAGUGGUUCUCAGCUUUAAGCCUGUGUUAGAAUCAUCUGCAGGGCUUAUUAAAACACAGAGUGCCGGGCCUCACCCCCGAGUUUGAUUUAGCAUUUCUGGUAGUUGGAUCUAUAAUUUGCAUUUCUGAAAGUUCCCAGGUGAUACUGAUGCUCCUGGACCCAGGACCACAGACAAAUUCUCCUUCUUGUAGCCCCUUAUUCAGUCUGCGUAAGAGGCAUGGCUCAUCUGGUGGGUUUGGGAGGAGGAGCGGACCAUGCUCAGUUAGCCCUCCCCAUCUCCCUAGCUGCAGAGCAUAUUCAGACAGCUCUCCAAUCAGUUCAUCAGUAAUAAAGGUGACAUGCUGAUCCUCA
This is a non-coding RNA of Macaca mulatta (Rhesus monkey), 1296 nucleotides long. The record is from RefSeq and is a predicted model, not a curated record. Lineage: Eukaryota; Metazoa; Chordata; Mammalia; Primates; Cercopithecidae.